AAGCGGCAAGAGCUCAAAUUUGAAAUCUGGCCCCUCCGGGGUCCGAGUUGUAAUUUGCAGAGGAUGCUUCGGGUGCGGCCCCUGUCUAAGUGCCUGGAACGGGCCGUCAGAGAGGGUGAGAAUCCCGUCUUGGGCAGGGUGCCCGUGCCCGUGUGAAGCUCUUUCGACGAGUCGAGUUGUUUGGGAAUGCAGCUCUAAAUGGGUGGUAAAUUUCAUCUAAAGCUAAAUACCGGCCGGAGACCGAUAGCGCACAAGUAGAGUGAUCGAAAGAUGAAAAGCACUUUGAAAAGAGAGUUAAACAGCACGUGAAAUUGUUGAAAGGGAAGCGCUUGCGACCAGACUCGGCCUCGGGGUUCAGCCAGCAUUCGUGCUGGUGUACUUCCCCGGGGCCGGGCCAGCGUCGGUUCGGGCGGCCGGUCAAAGGCCCCAGGAAUGUAUCGUCCUCCGGGACGUCUUAUAGCCUGGGGUGCAAUGCGGCCAGCCUGGACCGAGGAACGCGCUUCGGCACGGACGCUGGCGUAAUGGUUGCAAACGACCCGUCUUGAAACACGGACCAAGGAGUCUAACAUCUACGCGAGUGUUCGGGUGUCAAACCCGUACGCGCAGUGAAAGCGAACGGAGGUGGGAGCCCCUUUGGGGCGCACCAUCGACCGAUCCUGAUGUCUUCGGAUGGAUUUGAGUACGAGCGUAGCUGUGGGGACCCGAAAGAUGGUGAACUAUGCCUGAAUAGGGCGAAGCCAGAGGAAACUCUGGUGGAGGCUCGCAGCGGUUCUGACGUGCAAAUCGAUCGUCAAAUUUGGGUAUAGGGGCGAAAGACUAAUCGAACCAUCUGGUAGCUGGUUCCUGCCGAAGUUUCCCUCAGGAUAGCAGUAACGCGGAUCAGUUUUAUGAGGUAAAGCGAAUGAUUAGAGGCAUUGGGGUUGAAACAACCUUAACCUAUUCUCAAACUUUAAA
RNAcentral lists this ribosomal RNA (954 nucleotides) under Aspergillus versicolor. RNAcentral describes it as "partial large subunit ribosomal RNA". It matches the Rfam family "Eukaryotic large subunit ribosomal RNA", at positions 96 to 1069 of the family's 3401-position model. The record is from RNAcentral. Lineage: Eukaryota; Fungi; Ascomycota; Eurotiomycetes; Eurotiales; Aspergillaceae.